ACUCUGUUUUUCGUAGUUGAGCUAGUUUGUAUGUAGUUAAAAAGUAACAUCGACUGACAGCAGUAACUAUGUGUUACAGGUGAUGGGAAGGUCUUCACCAAAUGACAAGCUACAGGCCUAUAAAAGGACAGUCUGCUGGACCAGCGUAGGAGAAGUGCAGACAUCGAGGAUGAUUUUUCGAUGAAAUUGGCUGAUAUGUUAAAAUAGUUCAAUGAAUGCUCUAGUUCUUUGAGUAGGCACAGAGAGAUGGACAGAGAGCUUGAAUUGAAGGAACACUAAUGUCCCUGUCUUCCCUGAAGAAGUAUGUGUCACCUAGUUGGGGGCAGCCAUUUGUAGGAGCUAGCAUUUUGGCAGUUUCAGGGAAUGGAGCUAGCAUUUGGAGAGAGGCUGAACUUGAAUCUUGGGACGACAAACUCAAUAAAGGCCUGGUUGUAUUUCGUGACGAUGGAAGCUCAGAGACGGUGGGGGCAGAAGCAAUGUCAUUAUCAUUCGAGUGAGAGAUCGAAGUAGACUGAUCAUAAGACUCUACGAAGGCUUGCUCAGAACCGUGAGGCAGCAAGGAAAAGCCGGUUGAGGAAAAAAGUCUACACUCCGAGGAUUGCGCCUUAUGCGAGGAAUUUGAUGUGGUUCGUGAGCAAUGGGCCAAGUUUUUUACCAGCAAGUAUUUAUUAUUGGCUUUAGCGCGCUUGAUCGAGUUGGUUUAGUUGUUAUAGAAUAAAUUUUAUAUUAAAAUGUAUGUUUAUGUUGAAAUUGGAACAUAUAUUUAAAUGUAAUAUGUGCACUUAAUUUGGUUUUGGGAUAUAUAGUAUACAAAACUCCAGUUGUUGUUUUUA
Spinacia oleracea (spinach) is the source of this 833-nucleotide long non-coding RNA. RefSeq lists it as uncharacterized. Lineage: Eukaryota; Viridiplantae; Streptophyta; Magnoliopsida; Caryophyllales; Amaranthaceae. The transcript is spliced from 4 exons. The record is from RefSeq and is a predicted model, not a curated record.